UUGAUUCAUUCCAUUCCUUCAAUUCAAAGUCAAAGUUUUAGAAGUUUCCUUGAGUCCUUUUGUUACAAUUCUUUGAAUCACAUCCGGUUUGAGAAUUCUACAAGAUUGAUUGAUUGAUUGAGUUCGUUGAUUGUCCUUAGAAGCAAUUGUUGAAAGAACUGAGUGGUAAAAGGCAGAGAGGUGAGCUCAAUAGAGGGUAAAAGCCAUUGUGUGUUUCCGAGUGACUUUGGUGAGGCAGUUAAAUAAAAUUUUAGUAUUAGGAUGUCAGAAAGGGCAGAAUCAAACUCAAGCCGACAAGGCAACAAU
RNAcentral lists this long non-coding RNA (306 nucleotides) under Olea europaea (common olive). Its description in RNAcentral is "long non-coding RNA (OEUR_LNC009870)". Lineage: Eukaryota; Viridiplantae; Streptophyta; Magnoliopsida; Lamiales; Oleaceae. The record is from RNAcentral.